Molecule: ribosomal RNA, 555 nt
Filed under: Triticum aestivum (bread wheat)
Lineage: Eukaryota; Viridiplantae; Streptophyta; Magnoliopsida; Poales; Poaceae
Description: partial small subunit ribosomal RNA
Source: RNAcentral
AUGGAGGCGGUGAGCGCGAUCGCCAAGGUGGUGCAGGCGAUAGUGAAGGCGGCGACGAGGGACCGAGAGAACAGUAAGAGAUGCCUUGCCCUCGCCGACCGCGCCCACACCGUCGGCCACAUCAUCGACCACCUCGAAUCCUCCACGGCGAGCAAGAGGAGCAGCGGCAGCGGCACCAGGUGCACGAUGAUUAUGAGAGAGCCCCCACUGAAGAGUCUGAAGGCCGCGCUCGAAGAAGCGCUUGAGCUCGUGGAGUCCCAGCAGCCGGGCGGCUUUGGCAGCGGGGUCAAGAAGCUGAUCACCAGCGGCACGACGGCAGCCAAGUUCCAGAGGGUCGAGGCGAGGAUCACCGCCUGCGUCACCGACCUCGGCUUGGCGGAGCAGUUCGCCGCUCGCUAUCGUGCCCUCCACGCCAACACAGGGGCCGGCUCGGCACCCUCCAUUGCUCCGCAGCAUCAGAAGAAGAGCUCGCUGUUUACGCGGCCGCCUACGCAGCAGCCCUCGGAGCGUCCGAGCUUAUUCCUGACACCAUCGCAGCACAACCAGAGCUUCUAA